GUAGGGCCAUUUCCUGGCAAGGCAGGAAAUUGUUCCCUGAGAGUGGGUAACUUGAACGAGGGAGAAGUCCGAAAAGGAAAAGUGUGAAAACGGGAUUUAUAGGACGAUAUUGUGUUAUUCUUUCACACAAAUAAGCGCCUAGCUGGAACGGGAACAAGCUCUUCCGGUGUUUUCGUAUGGAGGAUAUGAAGGAGAGGAAAGUGUUUCUGUUCAAAUGAAGGCUCACGGCUGAACAUGAAAAUAAAGGACACUAAGAAACCUCAGACAGACAGACAGGUCUACACCUCCACUGCUUCAUCAAGUGUACAGCAGGAGGGUGAAAUCCAUCAGACAGACAGGUCUACACCUCCACUGCUUCAUCAAGUGUACAGCAGGAGGGUGAAAUCAGCUUUAGAUCAGUCUGUAGAUGUGAUUUAAGCUAUAAUGAGCUAUAGUCCACCCUUCUUUCAUACAUGGCAGAAUGGAACCACCACCACCAUCAUCAUCCCCCAUCACCACCACCAUCACCCCACCAUCAGCACCACCAUCAGCACCACCAUCAGCACCUCCGCCUCCUCCACACCACUCGCAAAUGAUGUAUCUUUUGGCCGCCCCCCGGAGCUCACGGGAGGCCCCCCCAGGGGCCAUCGGCUCAGCCCACGACCCGCUGCCCGGGAGUCCGGGGAGAGAGAAAAAGAAAACCGGCAAAGUACGAGCUCCGGCCAUCGCCGCACGCCCAGUCACGGAGCACCGCAGCCCGGGCCGGGCCGUCGGAGGCCGUCGGCUCAGCCCACGACCGGCUGCCCGGGAGUCUGGGGCCACAUUGGCUCUGGGAGGAACCAAACCAUCGUCACGCAGCAAAGAAACCUACAUACAGGCACUAUCUGCUUUGCCCAUUUUGUCUUAAAACACAAGAGACCCUGUCAUGCCAUCUGCGGAGGGCAUGCUUGAAGAACAGGACUGAAGCAGCCAUCGAAGCCGUGGUUGAAAAGGCCAAGUUGGACGUUGUGGACCUCCUGAAGAAUGGCAGGGCUUUUAGUUAUGCAGUUAUUAAAUUAUGGCAGAUGCAAAUCCAAUCCAAAGUAUGAAAAUGUUGCUUGGUAUCUCUACAGGCACCAUCCCUGCAGUUUGUCAAUGACAGAGAGAAUAUCGGACAGUACCUCCGUGACCUCUCUGAGGCAAAAAUGAAAAAGAGAACACAGCAGAAUUACCUCAAGAGCUUGAAACGAUUCUCGGUUUUCCUCACUGUCCAAACCAACCUGAGAAAUGAGGAUUUGCCACUCCAUAAAGAGUGCCAGCACUUCAUUGCCUUCAAUGAUUCUUUGCAGCACAUCCUUGCCAAGCACUCAAAGAAAGAGAUCACCCAAAAGAGGCACAGCAUGUUGAUUGACGUGUUGUCAACAAAAAACUGCUUGGUUGUACUGGAGGCUGCUAAGAAGGAAUUCUUGGCAGUUAUAGGUAAACUGUCUGACAGUAGUUCUGACACCCUGGAGUCUGUCCAGAACAUCUUUGUGGUGUACUACCUCGAGGCUGUAGUACAUCUACAACCUCCAACGACUGGGCGUGGUGGAGCACAUGACUGUCAGGGAGUGGCUUUCCAGGAGAAAAUGUGAUUCACAUUCCAUAAUUGGGGUAAAGGAGCACAAGACAGCAGCACAGCAAGUGGCCAUGUUUGCCCUGUCAGAGGAGGAGGAGCAUUGGUUUGAUGUGUACUACAGACUGGUGCGGCCACAGCUCCUGAGACCCACCAGGAAACGCAAGAGGGAUGUGGAGGACGAGAUGGAGGGAGAAGAAAGAUUCUUCCUUCCACCGCAGGGAGGCAGAUCCACAGUGCCUCCAAUGACCUGCACCAGUUGCGCACAAGGUACAACCUCCCGUCUUUGAGACGGCAACUAAGAGCCUGACAGAUUCAGCAAAAAUCAAUGGUGGCCGAUUACCUGACCCAUUCCAGCGCAAAAGCGGAGAAGGAUUACCGCGUUAAGACGAUUGGACAUGCUGUGACGGCCGCUGAGAUUAUGAAGGACAUGGGUGUCUCAAGGUGAGCAUUUUUUGCACAAUUAAUACAUACUUAUAAUCUUUUUCUUAUAUUUGUAGUUCUGAUUCUUCUGGGGAGGAUGCCAUCCCGGAACCUUCUGGGGAGGGUACCAGCUGUGAGUCUUCUGGGGAGAGUACCAGCCGAAAUACCCGUAGCACUGCCGGUUCUGCUACUGCUGUCAGAUCUUCGUCAGAAUCGGAAAAGGAAAUUCAGGCGUCAUUUCAAAUCCUAUUUACGAAAUAUCCCGUGACAAUUGAUGGGCCAAAACAAAAACGGGAACUUCUAAAGGGUGUGUCUUGUUUUGGGUUAAAGGUUCAUGAGCGUUGGGAGAAGAGGCAGUUGAAACUGCGACAAGAAUGUGUCCACUGAAACUUCCCUUGGCGUCAGCCAACACAUAACCAGCUCGAAGAAUGUGUUGCAAAGCAGGCAUGGGCCGGUAAAACUGGUAGCCAACGACUUCUUGUGAGGAGUCUGCCAGGCAUCAGCCUUCAGACAUUCUGUUGCAUGUCCCAGACCUGGUGAAAUGUAACUGAAUUGUCUUGGCCAGCUCUGCCUCGAUCUUCAUCUGAAUUCAGUGUAGCCAAAUUCAGAUGAGGGAUUUACUUGGGGGGUGCACCAGGGUCGGGGCUGAGCCGGGGAAGGUGUCUCCAUGUUCCUGUGACGGAGCCCCCGUCCCCGGGACCGCAUCAUGUCCCCCUGUGUAGCCGAAUUCAGAUGAGGGAUUUUGGAUAAAAAUGUGUGAAUGAGAGCCGUGGCUGUGUCCCCCGGAUGAUUUUACGACUUGGGGAGUGCACCGGGGUCGGGGCCAAGCUCCUGUGACGGAGCCCCCGUCCACGGGACCGCAUUAUGUCCCCCCAGAUGAGCGAUUUCGGAUAAGUGACGUCGCGAUUAACAAGACGAAAUAACGUUAUAACAUUACGUCUUGUUUUGGUCAACGAAAAUGAAGAGACAUUUUAGCAUAUUUUUUAUUUUGUAAACCACAUUUAGUCACGUUUUUAUUCGUUUACAAUAAUGCAUUAUAUAUUUAAUUAACGUUAUCGUCACAUGACCAGCAUUUACGUUGCGUCUCGUCUCAUUUUUAUCACGGCGAGGAGGGUGAAGAGGAGGAAAGGCUUCUGCUAUCGGGUGUUAAAGAUGACUUCUAAACAGCACGGGCAGCUACUGAUGAAUUGUCUUGUAUAGCAUUGGCCCCAGCACUGGUCGUCGCCUUUUGGUGUCGAGGCAUAGUUCAUCUGUCGGACGAUCUCUGCGAAGCAGUGUCAGAGGGAUUCGAAGUCGGGUUACUUUUCUCUGUCUCUCUUUCGCGACCCGUGUUUCCCAUUCUCCCUCCUGCUGUACACCCAUUGAAGCAGGUAUGGCUUUGGUGCUGUCACAUGCUGUUCCCGAUUUCUGGGAUCUCGCUCUUUCCUUCUCUGGCACGACUGUGACUGAAGCAGUGUCAGAGGGAUUCGAAGUCGGGUUACUUUUCUCUCUCUCUCUUUCGCGACCCGUGUUUCCCAUUCUCCCUCCUGCUGUACACUUGAUGAAGCAGUGGAGUGGUAGACCUGUCUGUCUGAGUUUGAAUCGACGGCAGGGAUGAGGCGCCGUCGCUAUUCACUGAGCUAUCUGACGCCCAAUAUUCUUGCAUGUCACGGAUUGCUCCGUUCUAAUUUCAUUUGACAGAGCGAAGAAGUCUGUCUCUCCUUCUCUGGCACGACUGUGACUGAAGCAGUUUCCUCCCUCUCUCUUUCUCUUUUUUACACUUAAUGAAGCAAGUGUUGCAGGAAGGAGUCAAACCCGGGUCCACGCCGGCGCUAUUCAAUGAGCCAGCCGAUGCCCAGGUCAUAUCUUUGUUGGCCUUGUCUAGGUUGUGCUUUUUCUGUAAAAACAAUUUGUAGGCCACUUUCAUGCUUUAUUGAUAUUGCCAUCUGGUAUGGUGCUGUCACAUGCUGUGUCAGAGGGAAUUCUGGGAUCUUCAGAUGCUCCCGAACCCGGGUCUCGCUCAAACCCGGGUAACAUUUUGUGAAAUCCUAUGAUUGGUUUUCUUUGCCCAGAGUCAGAUGAAAAAGAUUGAAUAGGAUGCUCGGUUGGUAAACAUGAAGGUGGACACGAGUAGUUUAGCUUUAGGACCGGAAACGAGAGAAACAGUGACUCGAGUCCGGGUCCACGGCAGCGGGGGCGCCGGCGCUAUUCACUGAGUUAUCCGACGCCCAAUAAUCUUGCAUUUCACGGUUUGCUCUGUUCUUAUUUCAAAUGAUAGAGCGAAGAAGUCUGUCUCUCCUUCUCUGGCACGACUGUGACUGAAGCAGUGUCAGAGGGAUUCAAAGCUGGGUUGCUUUCCUCCCAAACCCGGGUUUUCCAUCCUCCUCUCUCCUUCUGCUUUACACUUAAUGAAGCAAGUUUUUCAGGAAGGAUUCGAACCCGGGUCCACGCCGGCGCUAUUCACUGAGCUAGCCGACGCCCAGGUCAUGUCUUUUGUUCGCCUCGUCAAGGUUGUGCUUUUUCUGUAAAAAAAAUUCGUAGGGCACUUUCAUGCUUUAUUGAUAUUGCCAUCUGAUCAAUUGACAGAGCGAAGAAGCCUGUCUCUCCUUCUCUGGCACGACUGUGACUGAUGCAGUGUCAGAGGUGUCUCAUUCGAACCCGUGUUUCCCAUUCUCCCUCCUUCUGCUGUACUCUUAAUGAAGCAGUGCUGAAGGAAGGAUUCACUGAGCUGGCCGACGACCAGGGGUUUGUUUUCUCAAUGCCGUUUUCGUUCUCUAAAAGGGGAGGGAGCGGGGAGGACAUUCAAGUGGACUUGUUGGGAGUUGAACCCUUGUCCACGGCAGGAGGACAGCCUUUGUUCUUACUUUGUCACACAGGUUGGACUGGACCUCCAUGUGUUGUUGUUUCCAUCAGCGAUGGAACUACUGUGACUGUAGUGGGACCUUAGUUGCAGUUCAGUUCAGUUUAGUUUUCAAGCAAGUGAUGCAGGAAGGAGUCGAACCCUGGGUCUUGCCCAGUGGAGGGUACUGUCUGUCUAGGGGCCCUUGCUUUGAAUUUGCCCCGACCCUGGCCCAUCCCCAGAGUCCAGAAGUCACCGCGGGGACACAGCCAUGGCUCUGAGUCACACAUCAUGCCAUUGUACAUUUAGUUUGAAAAAAAUAGGCAGGACUUCACCUCUAGAUUCCUGCAAGUAAUCAAUUCACCAAAGGUUCUCUGGCAAUGUAUUUGUCUUUGCAGAGACAGAACAUUAUCUUUUUGAAAGCAAAACGUUGUCACAUACCACAGACUACAGUAUUUUUCUGUACUAAUGGAGCAGUGUGAUGUCGCAAUAUCAUUUUUCCAAACAAACAGGGGACUUCAGUCAUUAUGCAAAAUCAAAGUGGGGACAUCUUCUGUGUCAGGGCUCAAUGUUCAAUACUACAUUUUACACAUAAGCCUCUUUUCCAUAGACGUAAUAUGCAGCUUGAAUUGAGUCGGUUUUACUUGGCGUGUCGGCCCAUCACAGCAUCUAGCUUAAUUACCAUUAUAACAGGGCUAACUGCUAGGUGUGUUUUCAGUUGCAUGGAUUUUUCUUGACAGGAUAAUCAGAUAGAUACAAAGUUCAACCCUGAACUUGUAGAAACUAGUGUGGAGUGAAAGUUUAGUCAAUUUGCAGUAAUCUGUCCAAAGCCGGCAUCCUUCAUUUCUCUCAUUGUCUGAAUACACAAAACAGGGAUGCACUGUUCAUCACACCUAUACCAAUGGCACCUUAUAAAGAAAACAUUAUUGUACUCUAUGGUGCUGAACUAUCCAAAUAGAACCGAGAUUAUUCAUAAAACAGCAGGCAAACUAGCAAUGAUGCAUUUAGAGGCAAAGGUUUCAAAUCACCUGCAAAGUUAGAAGCAGUGACAAAUUUACAGAGACGGUGUUUGGUUACUUAGGAUGAAUUAAGAACAUUUUAUCAAUAUUUGAGAAGUAGGCUAAAUAGAAGACAUCUCAUCAUUGUGUACCCCUGAUCUUAUUGUAGUGAAGAGCUUAUAUACACAUACAUUAACUUUACUAUAUAGAGUUUGAACUGCAGAUAUAUUUUGAUUUGAAAAAUAUUUGUCAUUAUAGUUAUCAUUCUUGAUGUUGAAGGCACAUUAUCCAUUGUAUCUCAUCCACUGUACCUCCUUCCAUUUUGUGUGGAUAGGCUUAAUGGCCAUCAUCAGCUACAGGUAACCCUCCCCCAUACUGCAGACAGUUAAGGUCUGGCACAGAUUCACACUGUUUCAAGUUACUCACUUCUCAGACGCACAAAAAAGAUAUUAUUUUCUACGAAUUGGACUCAUGUUCAAGGUUUUCAUUGUAAAGUGUUUAAUGUAACAAUAAAAUUGCAAGAGAGCUUUAAAAAUUGUUUUUAUGAACAUUUAUUGUAGUUUUAAAAUGCUCAAAAGGGACAUCACCAUCAGUGUCAGUGAUUACAUUAGUCUGGUUGCACCAACUUUACAGAUCAUGGUAGCACCAACUUUAGAGGACAGAGUCUUUCAAGCCCUGGGCUAUCACAUGUAAAAAUAGAUCAUUUCCCCAAGGAGUUAAAUGAACCUUGUCACGAAGGAAGAGCUGAGGAUGAUCAAACACAAUUUGUGGAUGGUGUAGAGUCCUCCCAUUAACAGACAAAAUAAAGGUUGCCAUCACACUGUC
Molecule: long non-coding RNA, 6637 nt
Organism: Scophthalmus maximus (turbot)
Lineage: Eukaryota; Metazoa; Chordata; Actinopteri; Pleuronectiformes; Scophthalmidae
Exons: 10
Source: RefSeq, a predicted model, not a curated record